UAGGACCCUGAUGGAAAUAAGGUUGUCAAAGAGGUGAUUUUUGGCCCAGGGGACAAAAAGUAUCGUUACUGCAAGCACAUCUCAAAGCAACAUCUCCCAAAUCUGUCAAGCGACCUCAUGAAGAAGGGAAAACAUUUCAUAUUGAUACGGAACCCUCUAGAUAUACUGCCAUCUUUUGAUAAAGUCGUUCCACCAUCCUUCAUGGAGCUUGGCAUAGGCGAACUUGUCUCAAUAUACAGUGAAUUAUGUGGACUUGGGAGCCCACCCCCUGUGAUAGAUGCAGAUGAUCUGCAACAGGAUCCUGAG
Molecule: long non-coding RNA, 306 nt
Organism: Zea mays
Lineage: Eukaryota; Viridiplantae; Streptophyta; Magnoliopsida; Poales; Poaceae
Exons: 3
Source: RefSeq, a predicted model, not a curated record